CUCAUAUAAGACUUGCAAAUAAAUCCAUGAGAACAGCCAGGGUUCCCGUUUACCACCAGGUCUUUUCCCUCUCCUGUUCUUUCUGGUCCCUGAGACUUGAAUUCCUUUCUGUUAGACAAAAAUUUUCAGCAGCACUGUUGCUCCUGUUUCAUGCCAGGUGGUUAGGGAAUUUACCACAGGGACAGUUCGCCUCCUCCACCCUCUGCUUUAUGCCUUUAUCAGCAGCUCUAACCUCUGCUAUUAUAGAAAUUGUGAAUUCCUCCACCCAUCUUUUACAGAAAAAGACUGAGCCUAACAACUUAUCCUAAGCACAGGGUGGGUUUCCGCCACCUUCUCUGGUGCACCUAAUUAAAAAAGACAUUUUCUGCCAGUCCACCCUCACCAGUAUUUGGUAUUGGAUGGCUGAAGAGUUCCCUGUCUACAUUCUCUGUUGAAAUUCCUCUUCUGAGACAUGCAGAGGCCUCAUCUCUGGAUCAUCUCUCUCUAAACCUUCUGAGAGGUCAAACUGUAGUUUGACCGCUUCUCUAGCCUGUGCAAAGACACAGCAGUGAGUAAGCAGGAACAAACAUCUACUGGGGAGCGUGAAGUCACCAGGUGAUUCCUGCCUGGUUCAGCCGAGGAUCCAGCCCAUGAUCCCCAACAACCUGUCUACGACUAAUCCUGACAUAAACUUAAUUCAAUGUGGAUACACAGCAGUAAGAAGGAAUCAGGCUCAGAUUUUACAGAUCAGGCACCAGUGGAAUCGAAUGAUUAACUUCAUCAGGAUUUCACAAGUUGGCCUGUGCUUGUCAGCAAUAAAGAGUGGCAUUUCAUUUCCCAAAUGAAAACACCAGUGUCCAAUUCAGCCAUUAAAAUCUUAGAAAAGUUUAUACUGAUAAAAAUCUGCUGUUAGAUAAAAUAAGA
Cygnus olor (mute swan) is the source of this 903-nucleotide long non-coding RNA. RefSeq lists it as uncharacterized. NCBI's taxonomy places the organism in Eukaryota, Metazoa, Chordata, Aves, Anseriformes, Anatidae. The record is from RefSeq and is a predicted model, not a curated record. The transcript is spliced from 3 exons.